This 465-nucleotide ribosomal RNA is filed under the name Vreelandella stevensii. RNAcentral's name for it is "partial 16S ribosomal RNA". It matches the Rfam family "Bacterial small subunit ribosomal RNA", at positions 338 to 795 of the family's 1533-position model. The record is from RNAcentral. Lineage: Bacteria; Pseudomonadati; Pseudomonadota; Gammaproteobacteria; Oceanospirillales; Halomonadaceae.
CCUACGGGUGGCAGCAGUGGGGAAUAUUGGACAAUGGGCGAAAGCCUGAUCCAGCCAUGCCGCGUGUGUGAAGAAGGCCUUCGGGUUGUAAAGCACUUUCAGUGGGGAAGAAAGCCUUGGGGCUAAUACCCUCGAGGAAGGACAUCACCCACAGAAGAAGCACCGGCUAACUCCGUGCCAGCAGCCGCGGUAAUACGGAGGGUGCGAGCGUUAAUCGGAAUUACUGGGCGUAAAGCGCGCGUAGGCGGUCUGAUAAGCCGGUUGUGAAAGCCCCGGGCUCAACCUGGGAACGGCAUCCGGAACUGUCAGGCUAGAGUGCAGGAGAGGAAGGUAGAAUUCCCGGUGUAGCAGUGAAAUGCGUAGAGAUCGGGAGGAAUACCAGUGGCGAAGGCGGCCUUCUGGACUGACACUGACGCUGAGGUGCGAAAGCGUGGGUAGCAAACAGGAUUAGAUACCCUUGUAGUC